RNAcentral lists this ribosomal RNA (253 nucleotides) under uncultured bacterium. RNAcentral describes it as "partial 16S ribosomal RNA". It matches the Rfam family "Bacterial small subunit ribosomal RNA", at positions 524 to 776 of the family's 1533-position model. The record is from RNAcentral.
UACAGAGGGUGCGAGCGUUAAUCGGAAUUACUGGGCGUAAAGCGUGCGUAGACGGUUAUCUAAGUCGGAUGUGAAAGCCCCGGGCUCAACCUGGGAAUUGCAUUCGAGACUGAAUAGCUAGGGUACGGUAGAGGGAAGUGGAAUUUCCGGUGUAGCGGUGAAAUGCGUAGAUAUCGGAAGGAACAUCAGUGGCGAAAGCGACUUCCUGGACCAGUACCGACGCUCAGGCACGAAAGCGUGGGGAGCAAAAGGG